RNAcentral lists this ribosomal RNA (459 nucleotides) under uncultured Streptococcus sp. Its description in RNAcentral is "bacterial SSU rRNA". It matches the Rfam family "Bacterial small subunit ribosomal RNA", at positions 925 to 1382 of the family's 1533-position model. The record is from RNAcentral. Lineage: Bacteria; Bacillati; Bacillota; Bacilli; Lactobacillales; Streptococcaceae.
ACAAGCGGUGGAGCAUGUGGUUUAAUUCGAAGUCCAACGACGAAGAACCUUACCAGGUCUUGACAUCCCGAUGCUAUUUCUAGAGAUAGAAAGUUACUUCGGUACAUCGGUGACAGGUGGUGCAUGGUUGUCGUCAGCUCGUGUCGUGAGAUGUUGGGUUAAGUCCCGCAACGAGCGCAACCCCUAUUGUUAGUUGCCAUCAUUCAGUUGGGCACUCUAGCGAGACUGCCGGUAAUAAACCGGAGGAAGGUGGGGAUGACGUCAAAUCAUCAUGCCCCUUAUGUUCUGGGCUACACACGUGCUACAAUGGCCGGUACAGACGGACGCAAAGCCGCGAGGUGGAGCAAAUCCUAAAAAGCCGGUCUCAGUUCGGAUUGAAGUCUGCAACUCGACUUCAUGAAGGCGGAAUCGCUAGUAACCGCGAAUCAGCAGGUCGCGGUGAAUACGUUCCCGGGCCUU